This is a long non-coding RNA of Acanthochromis polyacanthus (spiny chromis), 848 nucleotides long. RefSeq lists it as uncharacterized. The transcript has 4 exons. The record is from RefSeq and is a predicted model, not a curated record. NCBI's taxonomy places the organism in Eukaryota, Metazoa, Chordata, Actinopteri, Pomacentridae.
UUGAUCGUGAUCUGUGGGAAGGAAUAGCAAAUCUGAAACCUCCUCGUUUUGAAUUUGUGAAGAACGAUUCUUUUAAUUCCUAUGACCUGCUGAUCAGGAACAUCAGUAAUACUGAUGAGGGUCUCUACUACUGUGGAACUAAAGAGGUUAAGGUGGAGAACAACAAGGAACACAUCACUUCCACAGAUGUUUUCAGAUAUAGCAACAUAACAACAAGGAUCAUACUCAACUCCACCGAGCCCCUUCAGGAAAUCCAUCAUGACAAGAAGACUGAGCAAAACUGUGGUUUGUGCUGGAAGCUGCUCUUCUCUCUGUGUCCAGCUGUUGCUGUUCUUUCUUCUCUCUUGUCUCUUCUGGCUUUCCAGUUUUGCCACAAAACAGGAAAACCUCAAGAUGAUGAGAAAAGUCAUGAGAGCAGAAGUCAAGGAAAACAGGAUGAAGACGUUUGUUAUGCUGCCCUGGAAAUCCGUCAACCAUCACAGAGACCAAAGAGGAAGAAAACCCAGAGUUCAGACUUCAGCACAUAUUCAGACAUCCAAAAUUGAUCAUCUGCUCAGAAACCUCUGGACAGAGACUCUUCUUUCUGCUGUUAUGCAGUUCAGCUUAAAGUUCAAAUCUGUGAUUGAACUCGUGUGUGUGUGUGCAUGACUCAGGUCGUUUGCAUUGUUUUCAUUUUACUUCAAGGUAAGGGUCAGUCAUAUAUUCUUUAUUAGACAGAAUCACACUCCAAGUCAUGAAUGUAUUAAAUGCUUCAUGUAGUGAUCAUUGAGGCUCAAAGUAAAAUCCCUCAUAAAACAGCAGUCAACAUUUUAUGAAUAUCUAUAAUCAUGACACUGAAAUGCAUAAAA